CCUCCCUGAGUUUGACAUCUCAGCAGAGUUCCCUAGGAUGAGUCACCACGUGGCACAGCUGGCUCUGUUUGUCAGUGACCCAGACAAGGACAUCAGCCGGCAGGCCAGGGAGGGGACUUACCGGCUGUACCAGCUGCUGCUCCAACAGAGGGGGCUGACCAUACACGAGGCAGAAGAGCUGUGGUGCCACGACUGACACCAGGACAGCAGGCUCCUGGGCUAUAAGAACACAGCCAGGGUGGGAGAGGU
This is a long non-coding RNA of Mauremys mutica (yellowpond turtle), 249 nucleotides long. RefSeq lists it as uncharacterized. The transcript is spliced from 3 exons. Lineage: Eukaryota; Metazoa; Chordata; Testudines; Geoemydidae. The record is from RefSeq and is a predicted model, not a curated record.